This 226-nucleotide ribosomal RNA is filed under the name uncultured bacterium. Its description in RNAcentral is "partial 16S ribosomal RNA". It matches the Rfam family "Bacterial small subunit ribosomal RNA", at positions 15 to 230 of the family's 1533-position model. The record is from RNAcentral.
GAUCCUGGCUCAGGAUGAACGCUAGCUACAGGCUUAACACAUGCAAGUCGAGGGGCAGCAUGGUCUUAGCUUGCUAAGACUGAUGGCGACCGGCGCACGGGUGAGUAACACGUAUCCAACCUGCCGUCUACUCUUGGACAGCCUUCUGAAAGGAAGAUUAAUACAAGAUGGCAUCAUGAGUCCGCAUGUUCACAUGAUUAAAGGGUAUUCCCGGUAGACGAUGGGG